GCGGUCGUGGUGGAAUUGGUAGACACGCAACGUUGAGGUCGUUGUUCCCAUCACAUGGGAUUGAAAGUUCGAGUCUUUUCGACCGCACCA
RNAcentral lists this transfer RNA (90 nucleotides) under Candidatus Aquarickettsia rohweri. RNAcentral describes it as "tRNA-Leu". It matches the Rfam family "tRNA". From Rfam's summary of the family: Transfer RNA (tRNA) molecules are approximately 80 nucleotides in length. Their secondary structure includes four short double-helical elements and three loops (D, anti-codon, and T loops). Lineage: Bacteria; Pseudomonadati; Pseudomonadota; Alphaproteobacteria; Rickettsiales; Candidatus Midichloriaceae. The record is from RNAcentral.